Molecule: long non-coding RNA, 1476 nt
Organism: Gallus gallus (chicken)
Lineage: Eukaryota; Metazoa; Chordata; Aves; Galliformes; Phasianidae
Source: Ensembl
UGAAAAGGGAAAAAGAACGAAAAGGAAAAAAUGGAAAUGAAAAGGGAAAAAAGGAAGAAUAAAAUGGGGAAAGAAAAGAAAAGGGAAAAGGGAGAAAUGAAAAGGAAAAAAAGGGAAUGAGAAGAAAAAAUGGGAAAUGAAAAGGAAAAAGGGAAAAAUAAAAGGGGAAGUAAAAGGGGGGAAAGGAAAUGAAAAGGGAAAAAGGGAAUGAAAAGGAAAAAAAUGGGAAUGAAAAGGAAAAAAAUGGGAAUGAAAAGGAAAAAUGGAAAUGAAAAAAAAGGAACAAUCAAAGGGGAAGAAAAAGGGGGAAAAAGAAAAGGAAAAGGGGGGAAUGAAAAGAAGGGGAAAAAAGGAAAAAUAAAAAGGGAGGAAGAAAAGAAAUGAGGGGGAAAAGGGACAAAUGAAAAGGGAAAGGGGGAAAAGAAGAAAAAAGGAAAAACGAAGAAAAAAGAAAAAAACAAAAACGAAGAAAAAAGGAAAAUAAGAGGGGGAAAGGGGAAAAGAAAAGAGGGAAAAGGACAAAAAAAGGGAAGAGGAAAAAAGAAGUAGGAAAAGAAGUGGAAGAAAGGAAAAAAGGAGAAGAAAAGAGGAAAAAAGGACAAAAAAGGAAAGAAGGACAGAAGAAAAAAGGAAAAAAAGAGAAAAUUAAGAAGAAAAAUGUGGAAAAAGGGGAAAAAAGGGAACAGAAAAAAAAGGAAAAGAGGAAAAAUGGGAAAAAAAGACGGAAGGAAGAAGAGGACAAAAGAGGAAAAAGGAAAAAAAAGGACAAAAAAGAAGAGAGGAAGAAAAUGGGGGAAAAGAAGAAAAAGGAAAGAAGAAAAUGGGAAAAAAAAUAGGAAAAAGGAAAAGGAAAAAAAGGAAAAAGGAAAAAAAUGAGAAAAAGGAAAAAGGGGGAAAAAGGAAAAAAAGGGAAGGAGGGAAAAAAAGAAAAAGGGAAAAAGUGGAAAAGGGGGAAAGGGAAAAAAAGGUAAAGGGAAAAAAAGUAAAGGAAAAAAUGGGGAAAAAAUAGAAAAAAAUGGGAGAAAAAGGAAAAAAUAAAUAAAAAUGGAAAAAGGAAAAUUGAAAAAAUUGAAAAAAAAUGGGAAAAAAUGGGAAAAUGGGGAAAAAAGGAAAAAUGGGGGAGAAUUGAAAAAAAGGGAAAAAAUGGGAAAAAAGGAAAAAAUGGGAAAAAUGGGAAAAUGAAAAAAAAAGGAAAAAAGAAAAACAAAAAAAAAAAGAAUCCUGAUGUCAGAUUCUGAAUAUUUCUUCUUUGUAGCUUUUUGGAAUCAUUCGGAGUCAAAGUUUGUUACUUUAUUUUGGUAAUUAAGCGCUCGCGUUAACGAAGCUGGGAUGGCGCCGUCGCUUCUUUCCUUUCGCCGUCGGUUGCAAUGGGGAUUUUUGUUUCUUGUGACCACGGCGGCUGCCACAGUGACGGGAAGGGAGGAUUAAUUAGCAGGGGGGGUAAUUAAGGGGCGAUGGAGUUAAUGAGGAUUGGAG